This is a non-coding RNA of Camelus ferus (Wild Bactrian camel), 70 nucleotides long. The record is from Rfam. NCBI's taxonomy places the organism in Eukaryota, Metazoa, Chordata, Mammalia, Artiodactyla, Camelidae.
GGUUGUAGCUCAGGAGUAGAGCGCGUGCCUGGUGUGCACAAGGUCUUGGGUUCGAUCCCCAGUGCCUCCG